AGUGAACGCUGGCGGUAGGCCUAACACAUGCAAGUCGAACGGCAGCACAGUAAGAGCUUGCUCUUACGGGUGGCGAGUGGCGGACGGGUGAGGAAUACAUCGGAAUCUACUUUUUCGUGGGGGAUAACGUAGGGAAACUUACGCUAAUACCGCAUACGACCUACGGGUGAAAGCAGGGGAUCUUCGGACCUUGCGCGAUUGAAUGAGCCGAUGUCGGAUUAGCUAGUUGGCGGGGUAAAGGCCCACCAAGGCGACGAUCCGUAGCUGGUCUGAGAGGAUGAUCAGCCACACUGGAACUGAGACACGGUCCAGACUCCUACGGGAGGCAGCAGUGGGGAAUAUUGGACAAUGGGCGCAAGCCUGAUCCAGCCAUACCGCGUGGGUGAAGAAGGCCUUCGGGUUGUAAAGCCCUUUUGUUGGGAAAGAAAAGCAGCAGGUUAAUACCCCGCUGUUCUGACGGUACCCAAAGAGUAAGCACCGGCCAACUUCGU
Molecule: ribosomal RNA, 491 nt
Filed under: uncultured bacterium
Lineage: Bacteria
Description: partial 16S ribosomal RNA
Rfam family: Bacterial small subunit ribosomal RNA
Source: RNAcentral